Molecule: ribosomal RNA, 450 nt
Filed under: uncultured Entrophospora
Lineage: Eukaryota; Fungi; Glomeromycota; Glomeromycetes; Entrophosporales; Entrophosporaceae
Description: bacterial SSU rRNA
Rfam family: Eukaryotic small subunit ribosomal RNA
Source: RNAcentral
AGCAGCCGCGGUAAUUCCAGCUCCAAUAGCGUAUAUUAAAGUUGUUGCAGUUAAAAAGCUCGUAGUUGAAUUUCGGGAUUGGCGUACCGGUCGUGUCUUCGGGCAUGUACUGGUAAUGUUAAUCUCCACCUUCUAGUGAACUAUUAUGUCUUUAACUAGGUGUAAUAGGGAGCUAGGACUGUUACUUUGAAAAAUUGAGUGUUUAAAGCAGGCUUUAUGCUUGAAUAGAUUAGCAUGGAAUAACGAAAUAGGACGGCAUGAUUCUAUUUUGUUGGUUUCUAGGAUCACCGUAAUGAUUAAUAGGGAUAGUUGGGGGCAUUAGUAUUCAAUUGUCAGAGGUGAAAUUCUUGGAUUUAUUGAAGACUAACUACUGCGAAAAGCAUUUGCCAAGGAUGUUUUCAUUAAUCUAAGAACGAAAGUUAGGGGAUCGAAGACGAUCAGAUACCGUCG